Molecule: ribosomal RNA, 488 nt
Filed under: uncultured Exiguobacterium sp.
Lineage: Bacteria; Bacillati; Bacillota; Bacilli; Caryophanales
Description: bacterial SSU rRNA
Rfam family: Bacterial small subunit ribosomal RNA
Source: RNAcentral
CAACUCUUGACAUCCCAUUGACCGCUUGAGAGAUCAAGUUUUCCCUUCGGGGACAAUGGUGACAGGUGGUGCAUGGUUGUCGUCAGCUCGUGUCGUGAGAUGUUGGGUUAAGUCCCGCAACGAGCGCAACCCCUAUCCUUAGUUGCCAGCAUUCAGUUGGGCACUCUAGGGAGACUGCCGGUGACAAACCGGAGGAAGGUGGGGAUGACGUCAAAUCAUCAUGCCCCUUAUGAGUUGGGCUACACACGUGCUACAAUGGACGGUACAAAGGGCAGCGAGACCGCGAGGUGGAGCCAAUCCCAUAAAGCCGUUCCCAGUUCGGAUUGCAGGCUGCAACUCGCCUGCAUGAAGUCGGAAUCGCUAGUAAUCGCAGGUCAGCAUACUGCGGUGAAUACGUUCCCGGGUCUUGUACACACCGCCCGUCACACCACGAGAGUUUGCAACACCCGAAGCCGGUGAGUAACCNACAAGGAGCCAGCCGUCGAAGU